This 780-nucleotide ribosomal RNA is filed under the name uncultured Psychrobacter sp. RNAcentral describes it as "bacterial SSU rRNA". It matches the Rfam family "Bacterial small subunit ribosomal RNA", at positions 1 to 768 of the family's 1533-position model. Lineage: Bacteria; Pseudomonadati; Pseudomonadota; Gammaproteobacteria; Moraxellales; Moraxellaceae. The record is from RNAcentral.
CGGGAAUUCGAUUAGAGUUUGAUCCUGGCUCAGAUUGAACGCUGGCGGCAGGCUUAACACAUGCAAGUCGAGCGGAAACGAUGGUAGCUUGCUACCAGGCGUCGAGCGGCGGACGGGUGAGUAAUACUUAGGAAUCUACCUAGUAGUGGGGGAUAGCACGGGGAAACUCGUAUUAAUACCGCAUACGACCUACGGGAGAAAGGGGGCAGUUUACUGCUCUCGCUAUUAGAUGAGCCUAAGUCGGAUUAGCUAGAUGGUGGGGUAAAGGCCUACCAUGGCGACGAUCCGUAGCUGGUCUGAGAGGAUGAUCAGCCGCACCGGGACUGAGACACGGCCCGGACUCCUACGGGAGGCAGCAGUGGGGAAUAUUGGACAAUGGGGGAAACCCUGAUCCAGCCAUGCCGCGUGUGUGAAGAAGGCCUUUUGGUUGUAAAGCACUUUAAGCAGUGAAGAAGACUCUUCGGUUAAUACCCGGAGACGAUGACAUUAGCUGCAGAAUAAGCACCGGCUAACUCUGUGCCAGCAGCCGCGGUAAUACAGAGGGUGCAAGCGUUAAUCGGAAUUACUGGGCGUAAAGCGAGCGUAGGUGGCUUGAUAAGUCAGAUGUGAAAUCCCCGGGCUCAACCUGGGAACUGCAUCUGAAACUGUUAGGCUAGAGUAGGUGAGAGGGAAGUAGAAUUUCAGGUGUAGCGGUGAAAUGCGUAGAGAUCUGAAGGAAUACCGAUGGCGAAGGCAGCUUCCUGGCAUCAUACUGACACUGAGGCUCGAAAGCGUGGGUAG